Pan troglodytes (chimpanzee) is the source of this 2104-nucleotide long non-coding RNA. RefSeq lists it as uncharacterized. The transcript is spliced from 2 exons. NCBI's taxonomy places the organism in Eukaryota, Metazoa, Chordata, Mammalia, Primates, Hominidae. The record is from RefSeq and is a predicted model, not a curated record.
CGUUCCGAGGGUGUUGGCUGCAUUAAGUCACCUAGCACGCUCUCUGUGGGUACCAUCACCAGCUCCACUUUAUGGCUGAGGAAGCUGAGCUGCAGAGCAGUGAGGUGGCCUGCCCAGCAUCACACAGGGAUAACUGCAGUCUCAGAGAAGACCCCCAGAAACCCAAAAUGCUUCCAGCCACAGAGGAGGAGAGCAGCUGGCAGCCAGAAGCAUCCAUUCCAACUGAGAGACAUCGAAGGGAACAAGGCUUAACCGCCUUGUCUUUGAACAGCACUAAAUGAUUCAGCAAAAGGGAUGAGAGGAAACCUUUGGCCAUGUCACGGGUUCACAGCCAUCUGUAUAUGUUCCUAUAGUCCUGCUUUGUACCUCCAGCCUAAAUGAUGGGGAGGUCGUUUGAAGAUGAGACUGACCCUUCACUACAUGUGCUGCUUCCAACCCCAGAUUCCAUCAGGCUGCACUUCUGAGAUUCAGUGAACUCCCACUCAUCCUUCAAAACCUAUCUCAAUGUCGCUGCCAUAGCAAAGCCUUCCCUGGCCCCCUCGGGUAGGGAGGGUCUCUCUGUCCACUGGCAGGCCAAGAAGGCCAAGCUCUGCCCUCUGAGAAUCCAUCAGUGUCCCAAGCUGACUUUCCCUAGCCUCGUAUCCCUUCAUUCCAUGAAAGGGGAACUUAGGGUGGAGUGGAAAUUUUGAUCACCUAAAGGAACAAUAAUUGCUUUCAUUCAUUCAUUUAAACAAUAUGUAUUGAGCACCUACCAAGGACCAGGCCUUGUGCUAAGUGCCCCCACAGAGGUCACAAUAGUCAUAUACUACAAACAAAUACAGCAUCACAAAGGUUGGCGCAUGAAGAGACAGCAGCUAAGGGCAUGGUCCUGGAGCCAGAAUGCCUGGAUUUGAAUCACAGCUCUACUACUUCCCAGCAGCUUGUUGAGCUUAGCCAAGUCUCUAAACCCCUCUGAGCCUCAGCUUUAUCACCUGUAAAAUAGGGAUAAAAGCAGCAUCUGCCCUAUUCAUCUGUUCACAGGAAUACAUGGCCUAUGGAGGGAAAGUACCCAGGCUCCUGAGUGGGCCCUCCUGGCCCACGGCAGAAGCCGUGUGCAUGUCUGUUCAACAGAUACCUUUGGUGGCCUGUAUGUACCAGGCGCUUCUCUUCCCUGCUGGUCAAGGAAGGCUCACGGUGGAAUAGGAUUUAGCCCCGGGAGAGACAGCAGGGGCAUUCUAAAGACAUCGACUAGCUGGCAUCCUGUGCCAGGCAUCCCAACCUUUUGCGCAUCGCGGCUCACCUGGAAAAGACAUGGGGGUGAGGAAGGAGGUGCCACCUGCAUGAGGCAUGGCAGAAAAGCAUGACAUCACCUUUAUAGUGCAAAGCUUGACAGGAAGAAUAAGAUACAAAGUACUUAAAGAAGAUAAUCGAUAUUGGAUGUGUAUUAAAUUUCCAAGGAAAAUAUUUUUAAAUAUGUAAAUUAAUCUUGAGUUGGCUUCUACAAGCAUAACUUUUUUUUUCUUUUUUUUUUAUUUUGAGACAGAGUCUCGUUCUAUCACCCAGGCUGGAGUGCAGUGGUGUGAUCUCAGCUUACUGCAACCUCCGCCUCCCGGGUUCAAGUGAUUCUCGUGCCUCAGCCUUUUGAAUAACUGGGAUUAAAGGCGCACAACACCAUGCCUGGAUAACCUUUGUAUUUUUAGUAGUGGCGGAGUUUCACCGUAUUGGCCAGGCUGGUCUCAAACUUCCAACCUAACCGGGACCCACCCUGAUCUGCCUGCCUUGGCCUCCCAAAGUGCUGGGAUUACAGGUGUGAGCCACCGCACCCAGCCUUACAAGCAUAAAUUUUUUUAUACCAAUGUACCAGGUUUCAUGCUUGAGCUGACUAAGCACAGUCCGGGAUCAGGAAUGUUUUUCAGGGGUCAGUCCUUUGGGUUCCUGACAGUCACCACUGAUGAGAAGUGGCCGGGCAGGCAGCAGUGGAUGAGGACCACCUGUGGCACUACAGAGAGCCCUCUGGUGGCAGGUGGGAUGUCGACUGGGCACAGCUGCUGUGACUGAGUCUGAAAGGUGACAGUGGUGCCAAAGUUACCUUCCAAUAAAAUUUCAACUGUUGCACAUUUUUGAA